Molecule: ribosomal RNA, 520 nt
Filed under: uncultured bacterium
Lineage: Bacteria
Description: bacterial SSU rRNA
Rfam family: Bacterial small subunit ribosomal RNA
Source: RNAcentral
GGGAACAUACCCUUUUCUACGGAAUAGCUCUGGGAAACUGGAAUUAAUACCGUAUACGCCCUACGGGGGAAAGAUUUAUCGGGGAAGGAUUGGCCCGCGUUGGAUUAGCUAGUUGGUGGGGUAAAGGCCUACCAAGGCGACGAUCCAUAGCUGGUCUGAGAGGAUGAUCAACCACAUUGGGACUGAGACACGGCCCAAACUCCUACGGGAGGCAGCAGUGGGGAAUAUUGGACAAUGGGCGCAAGCCUGAUCCAGCCAUGCCGCGUGAGUGAUGAAGGCCUUAGGGUUGUAAAGCUCUUUCACCGAUGAAGAUAAUGACGGUAGUCGGAGAAGAAGCCCCGGCUAACUUCGUGCCAGCAGCCGCGGUAAUACGAAGGGGGCUAGCGUUGUUCGGAAUUACUGGGCGUAAAGCGCACGUAGGCGGAUAUUUAAGUCAGGGGUGAAAUCCCAGAGCUCAACUCUGGAACUGCCUUUGAUACUGGGUAUCUUGAGUAUGGAAGAGGUAAGUGGAAUUGCGAGU